UGGAUCAAUGAUGACCACUGGUGGCAUAUGAGUCAUGGAUGAUGACUGCAGGUCUGGAUAUCUGAGGUCCAA
Molecule: small nucleolar RNA, 72 nt
Organism: Ictidomys tridecemlineatus (thirteen-lined ground squirrel)
Lineage: Eukaryota; Metazoa; Chordata; Mammalia; Rodentia; Sciuridae
Source: Ensembl